RNAcentral lists this non-coding RNA (947 nucleotides) under Petauroides volans (greater glider). Its description in RNAcentral is "12S ribosomal RNA". It matches the Rfam family "Bacterial small subunit ribosomal RNA". The record is from RNAcentral. Lineage: Eukaryota; Metazoa; Chordata; Mammalia; Diprotodontia; Pseudocheiridae.
CAAAGGUUUGGUCCUAGCCUUUCUGUUAAUUGUAAUUAAACCUACACAUGCAAGUUUCCGCUGCCCAGUGAGAAUGCCCUUAAAAUUAUAAAUAAUCAUCAGGAGCCGGUAUCAGGCACACCACGAGUAGCCCACUACACCUUGCUCAACCACACCCCCACGGGUCACAGCAGUGACUAAAAUUAAGCUAUAAACGAAAGUUCGACUAAAUUAUAAUUAAAUAGGGUUGGUAAAUUUCGUGCCAGCCACCGCGGUCAUACGAUUAGCUCGAAUAAACAGAAAAGCGGCGUAAAGCGUGUUUAAGAUAACUACUCAAUAAAGCUAAGCUAUGACUAAACUGUAAUACGCUCUAGUCAAUAUUAAAAUAAACAACUAAAGUGGCUUUAAUAUUACUGAAAACACGGUAGCUAAGAAACAAACUGGGAUUAGAUACCCCACUAUGCUUAGCCCUAAACCUAAAUAAUUAAUUAACAAAAUUAUUCGCCUGAGAACUACUAGCAAACGCUUAAAACUCAAAGGACUUGGCGGUGUCCUAUACCCACCUAGAGGAGCCUGUUCUAUAAUCGAUAAACCCCGAUAAACCUCACCUCUUCUUGCCAAUACAGCCUAUAUACCGCCAUCGUCAGCUUACCCCAAUAGGGAACAGAAGUAGGCAGAACUAUAAACUCGUAAAAACGUUAGGUCAAGGUGUAGCAUAUGUAGAGGGAAGUAAUGGGCUACAUUUUCUAAGAUAGAACAUACGAAAUAUACUAUGAAACUUAGGAUAUCGAAGGAGGAUUUAGUAGUAAAUUAAGAAUAGAGAGCUUAAUUGAACUAGGCCAUAGGACACGCACACACCGCCCGUCACCCUCCUCAAUUAAACAUAGCAAAAUAACUAAUAAGAACAUUACAAAAAGAGGAGAAAAGUCGUAACAAGGUAAGUGUACUGGAAAGUGCACUUGGAAUAU